AGUGAACGCUGGCGGUAGGCCUAACACAUGCAAGUCGAACGGCAGCACAGUAAGAGCUUGCUCUUACGGGUGGCGAGUGGCGGACGGGUGAGGAAUACAUCGGAAUCUACUUUUUCGUGGGGGAUAACGUAGGGAAACUUACGCUAAUACCGCAUACGACCUACGGGUGAAAGCAGUGGAUCUUCUGACCUUGCGCGAUUGAAUGAGCCGAUGUGGGUUUAGAUGGUUGGCGGGGUAAAGGCCCAGCAAGGGGACGAUCCGUAGCUGGUGUGAGAGGAUGAUCGGCCACACUGGAACUGAGACACGGUCCAGACUCCUACGGGAGGCAGCAGUGGGGAAUAGUGGACAAUAGGGGCAAGCCUGAUACAGCCAUACCGAGUGGGUGAAGAAGGCCUUCGGGUUGUAAAGCCGUUUUGUUGGGAAAGAAAAGCAGCAGGUUAAUACCCAGCUGUUCUGACGGUACCCAAAGAAUAAGCACCGGCUAACUUCGUG
This 492-nucleotide ribosomal RNA is filed under the name uncultured bacterium. Its description in RNAcentral is "partial 16S ribosomal RNA". It matches the Rfam family "Bacterial small subunit ribosomal RNA", at positions 29 to 507 of the family's 1533-position model. The record is from RNAcentral.